UCUCCCUCCUUUCAGCUUUGAAGCACUGAGGACUGAGUCAAACACGCAUUUCCAGCAGUUGAUGGGGAGAGGAUUCCCUGGGGAGGCUUUGCUCAUUCUUUCCUCCUUACCACAUCCUGGGCAGGGGCUGUUGUGACCUUGAGGGACAGAGCCCACACGGCCUAAACCAAAAACUCUGGGCCCAGAAACGGACAGACAAAUAAGGACAAAACAUCUCAAAUCUGGACCAUCCUGGAAAACCUGGAAACUGAUCACUUGAGCUGCAGCCAGGCACGCACGCACGCACGCACGCCCACACAUGCACGCGCACCCGCGCGCACACAUGCACGCGUCACAUGCACGCGCACGCACACAUGCUCACGCACACAGAGUCGUCAGACAAAUGAUACGCAGGCGGAUGUCAUCCCUCCUUGUGACAAUAGGAGACACGGCAGUGCAUGGACAAGACCCAGCAAGGCCAUUUUCCCCACAGGCCUCCCUGCUGGAAUAUUUAUAACGCGUACUCCCAUUCUCAUCCUUGGGAUUCCUCUAUUCAACCAUGAACUUUGACCCUGGCCAUAAAUGCAAAAGAAUAAACAAAGGGGUUUCUGGAAUAAGGAAGGAAGAUAGAGUGAAUCAGACCCUUUCCCGUGUUCCUCUAAAAAUGAAUACACUACGCACACAACCUCUGAGUGACAUUAAGUGCUUUAUGUUUCCUCAGAGGACUCUUACAUCCAUUGGUUGACUGGAUUUCAGCCCAAUGCGGCACAUAUCCUUAUCCCUACUUGUAGCAGUUGAGAUUCUUAGCCAAACAGCAGAACCCAUCCAGGUAGCUUAAGUAGAAAAGGCAUUUAUUAAAAAUGAGAAGUCUCUUACAGAAUCUCCACAAGGGCCGAAGAGUCAGGCUUGCAGUCACCAAGAUCAGUGGCGCAGGUUGCAUACUGCACAACACCAGGACCCUUGAAGAGGCACUACUCCCACCUAGACAGACCUGUAUGUUUGUUGUAACAGACACUAGGUUUGUAUAUCACAGCCAUUUUCCAGCAGAUGGCAGUCAAGUGUUCAGAAGUGGUGCCCUAGUCACUAUUGCACAAAGUCCAAGGCCUGGAAGCCAGGAACAACCCCAGGGCGCGCUGUGCCACAUUGUUCCAGCGGAGAUCUGAUUGCUGCCGCUGCUAGGCAGAGACCCCACCGCUCAACCCUACUAACACCGGCCCGUGACCCCGGAGCGCCACCCCGUGGCCCACUCCCCACCACCCUGCUGCCCGAAGAAAACAGAUCCCACACAUCUGGACCUCCUCACCUUGCUCCCCGCCGCGUGGCACCCUGCGCCCGUGCAACGGACUACGACAGCUCAAGGCCCAUGCCUCGCGGCCUAACCGCAGGCCACCCGGGAAAGUAAGCCUCCAGCUUCCGCCUUGAGAGGGAAGGACUCAUGAUGCAUAUUCUCCAAAUAGGAAAAGAGUUCCAAUAAUGUGGCCUCAAAACACGCCACAUACCAACUGGUGUUCUGCAGAUGGGGGGCGGGCCCGAAGCCCGAAGCGGCCAGACGGAACGGCAUUCUGAGACGCAGAGAUGCAUUUUCAUUUCCUAAAGGCUGGGAUUUCCCACGAAGAUGGAGCUGCUAGUGGCUGGAGAGGAUUCCAGAGUCUCCCUCCCCGUCUGCCUUCAGCCCAGCCUCUGCCCCGGGGACUGACCCAGAGCCUCUGUCCGCCCUGGAGCCCCCGUGUUCCCGGGCAGCCUUGCUCGGCUCCAUAGAAAGAAGGAGGUGACAUCUCAGAGAGCUGUCCUGGGGCUGGAGGAGGCCUGUGGAACACCAGCCCCGCCUGCCACUUAGUAGGUGUUCAAUCCACAUUGGUUUCCUUUUUUCUUUCCUCUCUGCCCCUUCAACGCCACGCAAAAUAAUUAUGCUUAUUUCUGUUUUUCA
Leopardus geoffroyi (Geoffroy's cat) is the source of this 1906-nucleotide long non-coding RNA. RefSeq lists it as uncharacterized. Lineage: Eukaryota; Metazoa; Chordata; Mammalia; Carnivora; Felidae. The record is from RefSeq and is a predicted model, not a curated record. The transcript has 3 exons.